CUACCUACCGACUCCAGCACCGUGGCCGCGCUCAUCCAGCACCAGCGCGCCGACCAGUACCUGAGCACGCCGCCCGAGCCCGACCAGUGCUAGCGGACAUCAACAUAAAACGGGCACCAACGCUCCCCGUGACCGUGAUCACCAUGGUGGCGGACAGUGACCAAUGAUCAUCGGAACAGUGAUCUAUGAUCAUCGGAACAGUGAUCAAUGGUCGUUGGAACAGUGACAGCGGCAGGACGCUCUAGUGACUACGCCUUGUGGUAUAUAUUGAAACCGAUCGGCGGUACUGAGAAACUACUGUCCUCGCUUCGCUCGGCGUCAUAUGUCUGCGAAAUAAAGUGCUGGUAUGGUUUAGUCUGUAUCAAAACAUCUAUAUCCCAGUAAGUAACGCAACAUAACACAACAUAAUCUAAUCGAGUUUUGAGUUUUAGUUCGAAUCAAGUACAGUAACACAAAAGUCACUGUAGUGUUACGAAGGGCCCUAUUUAAGUAUGAAGAUUCGGUAAUUUAAAUUAUUCGACCAUUUUCUUCCACUGAUAUUAUCGCACUAUAUGUGAUGUUUUCAACCAAAAAGCACCACAUUGUCGCUUGUCGAUAAGGUUGAUUUAUAAUUGAAGCUAUAUGGAAAUAGCGCCUUACUGACAAGCGGCAAUAAGUACCCUUUUGGUUGAAAAUGGCACAUAUUACCGAAUUUAUAUGGAAAAACUGCAAUUUAGAUAAAAUGUAGGUACCCGGGGGCUUACCGCGAAAAUAGAAAUUUCGUUAUCUGCCUCACUAUCGCUCGAAUAUGCAAGAGUGAUAGAGAGACAAAUAACGAAAUUUAGAAUAUCGCGGUAGGCCCUCUGUGGGGACGGGUGGACGAAAUUUGUAUCGCCGAAUGUUUGAUGAAACAUAGUCAAAAUAUAGAACAUGAACAAUAUCGACAAUUUGCCUAUAAAGGUGUUUCUUACUAUCCGCUAAACACCUCUAGAAAUUACAGAAACCACCGAGAUAGUUAGUACGCAUACUUAUAUAAAAAUGUAGUUCUGUUGAUGUUUUUAUGUGAUCUGUAGCCUUAGCGCAGGAGCGCCGCGACAGUAUCUCGCCCGCGAGGUUGGCUAUCCGUCCCACUCUGAUUAAUACAGUUAGAAAAAAGACGGGUAGUCUAACUCGCGCGCGAGAUACUGUCGCAGAGCUCCAGUGCUAAGCCCACUGUGGUACGGCAGUUGAACGUUUAACAUUAAUAUGUCACUAUAGUAUAUAUUGACGUGUUUAUACUUGGCAAAUUGUAUUUUGUUUUCAUACACAUAGGUCUUGUAAAAGUAGUUAUAAAAACGUUCAGCUCUCGGUCCAUUAGUACCUAAAUAGUGAUCUAAGGGCCUGUUUCACAAUGUCCAAGUAAAGUCCUGAAUAAGCUACUUGCCACUAAUCUGACGAAUAAAGUCAUCGUUGGCGUUUCACAAUCUCCAAAUAAGCUUUAUCUGCCGGAUAAAGUGCUUUUUUUGUAGGAAAUUUUAUCUGGCAAUUAAUUUAUUUGUUAAUUAGCUAUUCAAUACUUUACUUGGACAUUGUGAAACAGGCCCUAAAUGUUGCGAGAAUGACGUGUUUAUAGAUUUCAAUAUGAAUCACAAAGCGCCAGCAAGCUUGUAUUACUUAAAUUAUUUUUGUAUUAAUAUAUAUAAGUAUAUAUAUAAAUCACCAUUCCAUUUGCGAAACCAACUGACAUUGCGGUAUAGUAUAGUGAAAGAGAUAAAAAACAUUCUAAUGCAUUUGAAGCAUAUGUUGAUAGUCUAUUUCAACCCUGCACUAUUAUAGUACAAUCAUUGUAUGACUAACUAAAAAAAAAAAAUAUUUUUUCUUAGUGUACCGUAAAAAUAGAUUACCAGAUCGGUCUGAGUUAUGAAAACGAUAAUGUUUCUACCCAACGACAGCAAAGCCAAAAGUUGAGCUUUUUGAUGCAUUCUAUGUGGCUGAGAAGAUACCCUAGCUAUAUCCUAGCAUAUACCGCAUUUGAACGAAUGCCGCUUACCGCUUAGCAUGAGUAUACCGUGACAGAAUACAGGUAGACUACCCGUCUGUUUGUAACUGUAUCAAUUAAAAAGCGGCGGGUAGUCUAUCUCACGCUAGAGAUAGUUAAUGUCGCGGCGUACUUGUAUUAAGUCUACGGAGCUGAAGGCCAGAGCGAUAUUCAAUUCAUUAAAGGUUUUUCUUAUUUUUAAAACUCGAAUUGACAAAAUCGUUUUACCUUUCGUAUGUGUGUGGACUAAAACCGUGGGUUCAAAGCUCGUUCGUGCUGUUUAGAGCAGAAACAAAUCGUUCUAAAAAAAUGCAAUCAGAUGACUGAAAAAUUCGUUAAGGAUCCUUAUCAAAUACACGGAAGGUUGACCCUUUGACCGCUAAAGUAGGCCACAAACGUGCACGGUUAAAGUUUAAUAUUAACCUUCGUUCAUUCCAAUAAGGUUAACGAUGGUGUGUUAUAUGUAAUAGGCGUAACGGUCAACGGGUUAAACGAUCCUAACUAAUACGAAUGCUAUCAUAUAAAACCGUACAGAAUUAUAAAUAAAACCGCACAAACUUUUGGCCGACUCGCUUCAUUCAUCUAGCUAUUCUAAUCAUAUUUAUAUGAAGCCAUUUUAAUGUAGUUCUAUUUAUUAUUUACGAACCAAAUAUGCAUUGACUUAUUUUUAACUUUGUAACAAGUUACUCAUAAGGUCAAUACGGGUAAGUGUGGCAUAGGGACAAGUGUGGCUGGCCUUCACAUUGGCGGCUGUUUAGACAUUGAUUCAUGUUUAUUACAAGUUCAUACAUUGGCUACUUGCUACUUGGGCUCAGUGGCAAAUGUAUGAACUCUCAAUAAACACUAAUGAAUAUGUAAACAGUCGCACUUAAACUAUCGUGAGACAUAUUUCAAAAUAUUUAUCAGUACGGUUUUUACUCACUAUUAUUUUUAGUCGCUUUUGGCGACAUGUUUCGGAUUCUUUGGGAACCGCCGCGGACACUCGUACCUGAGGAAACAUGUCCCCAAAAGCGACUAAAUAAUAGUGUGUAAAACCUUACUGAUAAAUAUUUUGAAAUGUGUAAACAGGCCCAAUGGCCAGCUACACAACUGACUUAACCGUAUGCCACACUUACUCGUAUUGACCUUAUGUGUUUGUGCUAUUUGUUAUAUUAUAAUACAUCGAUAUUGUGCAUCUCUCAAAGGAAUACAGUAAAAAGUAAAACGGGAAAUUCAUUUUCUCGUACAAUAGGUCUCUAUUGUGGAAGAAAAUAAAAAUAUUGUUAUUUACUGCAUCUAUGAGUAAAGAGUUGGAUCGCAUCAAAAUAAUGAUCAUUGUCAGAUUUCAUGGGUUAAGCCCUGAUUAUUUGGUGAGAAAAACCGUAUGUCAUAUCUGACGAUAACUUUUCCAUGGUUUUAUAAUGAGAUUGAUCAACUCCUCCACUUUAACAAAUUCCUUAAAAAACUUUAAAUUAUGAGUCCACACAAACCCAGUGCCAAAAAGCCGCUCCCAUACAAAUUUUAAAACGACAUAGGUACUUAAAUUAUAUGAAAUUUGGCAUAAACAUUUACGUUAAUAUAUCUGCCUGGCACUUGUAUUUCUAGCAACGAACGCUAGUACCAGACAUUGAUAUAAUAUAUGUUACUUGAAUGUUCAUGUUAUUUUAAAAUGAGACCAUAACUUCAAUUGUAUUGCGGCGUCUAGGUUCGUGUAACAUACUUGGAUAGCUUUUACAACAAAACCAAAUCUAAGAAGGGCCAGUAUUAUGUUCACAUGGACUUAUUUAUAUUGAUCAAUUAAAUAUUUGUUGAAGGCUCAAACUAUAGUAGCUUGUUACUAAGAGGAAAUCAUGAGGGACUAGCCAUAGUAUAGUUUAUGCCUUAACUAAUACAUGUAACAUAAUAGACUUAUCUGGUUGACUACACGGCACUCAGUUUAAGAGUUUUCUUUAGUUUAAAUUAAUAAUUUACUUCAAUCGUCGGGCUAAAACGCAGACACUCGUAUAGUUUUCGUGCUUAAUUUAACUAAGUGUGCUAUUUUUUAGUAAAUGUAUACAAUACAGCACUGGUUGCUUGCUACUCUAACUUAUAGCUGCGUCUCUUACCCGACGGUUGAGUAAAAUGUAGAGCCUAUCAUUAGUUGCGUGCUUGGCGUGCCAAAGGUGACAAAUAAGUGUCCGUUUCGAUUCACUGUUAGACGCCAAAAUGAUUUAAGGUCAAUACGGGCUAAGUGUGGCUGGCCUUUAUAUUGGGGCCUGUUUACACAUUAAUUAGUGUUUAUUGCAAAUUCAUACAUUUGCUAUUUGCAUUUAAUGGUAAAUGUAUGUACUCGCAAUAAACGCUAAUCAAUGUGUAGACACCCUAAUGUGAAUGCCAAUUCUACACUUACCUCAUAGCUACACUUACCCGUUAUUGAUCUUACUACUUUAAAAGUCUAUUUGGAGUGAUUUGAGUAUAAAAAUGUGUGUUUUCAACAUUAUCACAAGUAUGACCACCUUAUAAAAACAUUGUUAUAUAUUUUUGAGAUGUUGAUUGAGACAUUUUUAUACUUGUCUAUAGAAUAUAGAUAAUAUGCAUCAUAAAAAUCAUGAUAAAAUAUAACAUUAACAAGACAAUUUGUGUAAAUGAAAGUGUGUAGGUAGUAUAUAUGAAUGUAAAGAUUGAAUGAGCACCUUUUUAACAUUAUUUAUUUUAUACAUAUUUUUAAUCCAACGUGAAUGUCUAAAUUUUAAAUUAACUGAAUAUAAUUAUACAACUUACGGUUAUGGAUAGGUAGGUAUGUUAAAUUAAAUGCAUUCUUUUUUAUUUAUUGCCUUAUGAAUCAGUAAUGUUUAUUUUUAUGUACAUGUUUAGGAUACAAGUUUAUGAAAUAAGCAAGUGACUUUUGGGGAAAACCUUUGUUUUUAUUUAUUCUCCAUCUAACUAAGAUUAAACGAAAUAUGCAAAUAAGUUUCCAUAAUGACCUGCAUAUAUAAGAAUGUUAAAGUUCAAUAUAACUCGCAUCGCAAGUACAAAUGGUUAUAGGCGUAGAUUUUUUACGUGUAGGUGCCUAAAAGUAAAUAAUUGGAUUUAGAUAGAAUUAACAAAUUUUGGAGAGCGCAUCAACACAUAAUACUGCGAAAUAUGAAGGCAGGCAAUUUGCCACGGUGCAAAAUAUUUUUUUAACAAUGCUCUGAACUGGUGCAAAAUGCGAAAACAUACGUAUAAGUAAAAUACAAGGACGGAAUUAUUGUUUCUUAUGAGGAUUUUUUUAUUGAGAAAUGAACUCUAGCCAUCUUGAUCCUGUAAAAUAUGAAAGUAUGAUGGAUAGAUAGCAUUGUACAGUAAACUGCCAUCUAGGUCUAAACUUGUAACGAAUGUGUUUCCCCAUAGUACAGCUAGCCUUCCUAACUAACAAAAUCAACUGUUUUAUGGUGCUUUCAUGUAGUUCACAUGACCAGUAUAGGUUAAAUGAUGGCCUAAACAACUGUGCCAGAAAUCGUUUAUCAUAUUCGCUAAGGGCACAAAUAGUACAUAUCUAUGCAAACACAUUGCGUUGCUUUACCCUCCCAAGUCUUAGCUAGCUGUAGUACCUAUUCAGUUCGAUGAAAUUUAAAUCCUAUUCAAAUGGAACAGUUGAAUUUGUUGUUUCAUUUUCACACAAAAAUAUACUCUAUUUCCUACACUAUAGGUUCAAAUUAGACAAAGUGGCGACCACGUACCGGAAGACGCAGCGUGGGAAGGCCCCAGACUAGAUGGACCGACGAUCUGGUUAAAGUCGCGGGAAACCGUUGGUUGAGGGCAGCGAAUGACUUGUUGAAUCGUUGUGGAGAUCAUUGGGGGAGGUAUUUGUCCAGUAGUGGACGUCUUUCAGCUGAGAUAAUGAUGAUGAGGUUCAAAUUUCAGUAACAAUUAUUGGAUUUGUCAUUUGUAUGACUGGAUUGACUGAGCUUUAGGAGGUUACUACUUUUUACAAAUUUAACAUGACACUCCGUAGCGCACCCGGAUCAAUUAGGAAAUUGAGACUUGUCUCAUUGUUAAAAUUCAAGUUUCUAAGUGGACGGACAACCUAUCCUAACUUGGUUGGUCUUCCAAUGGGUUCUUUUAUCAAAGGAAAAAUUUGCUGGGCUGCGGCAUAUUGCUGUUGUUACUACACAUAAUAAUUAUUUGUUCACAUCUUUCAUUCAGCUUAUUGUUGUCAGUCUCUGUCCGCACAGAGACAAAUUAUCUGUUCAGGCUUUGUAUACAUUCCUUACUUUACUAUUUAUUCGAAUAACGUUUAUUUUGAGAAUAAUGCGCCAUAAUUCUGACUUCUCUCAAAAUCAAUGUUAUUUCUGAUGUGUUUAAUCUUUCGUUUUGUAUGUAUGUUUGGAGUCCCCAAAAGUCGCUUGCCAGUAUGUUCGUGGGUGUUGCACGUAUGGAGACACUUAGACAAUCAUUUGCCACGCUGUUCGAUAAAUUGAUAAAAUUUGUAUAAAUAUUUAUAACGAUAAUGUAACUGUUGAUUAAAUGUAACAGAAGAUUAAGGGUGCUUAUGAUUAUCGUUAUAAUACAAAGUUGUGCAUAUA
Molecule: long non-coding RNA, 6522 nt
Organism: Cydia strobilella
Lineage: Eukaryota; Metazoa; Arthropoda; Insecta; Lepidoptera; Tortricidae
Exons: 2
Source: RefSeq, a predicted model, not a curated record